Molecule: ribosomal RNA, 2904 nt
Filed under: Shigella flexneri
Lineage: Bacteria; Pseudomonadati; Pseudomonadota; Gammaproteobacteria; Enterobacterales; Enterobacteriaceae
Also listed under: 2 other names
Description: 23S ribosomal RNA
Rfam family: Bacterial large subunit ribosomal RNA
Source: RNAcentral
GGUUAAGCGACUAAGCGUACACGGUGGAUGCCCUGGCAGUCAGAGGCGAUGAAGGACGUGCUAAUCUGCGAUAAGCGUCGGUAAGGUGAUAUGAACCGUUAUAACCGGCGAUUUCCGAAUGGGGAAACCCAGUGUGUUUCGACACACUAUCAUUAACUGAAUCCAUAGGUUAAUGAGGCGAACCGGGGGAACUGAAACAUCUAAGUACCCCGAGGAAAAGAAAUCAACCGAGAUUCCCCCAGUAGCGGCGAGCGAACGGGGAGGAGCCCAGAGCCUGAAUCAGUGUGUGUGUUAGUGGAAGCGUCUGGAAAGGCGCGCGAUACAGGGUGACAGCCCCGUACACAAAAAUACACAUAUUGUGAGCUCGAUGAGUAGGGCGGGACACGUGGUAUCCUGUCUGAAUAUGGGGGGACCAUCCUCCAAGGCUAAAUACUCCUGACUGACCGAUAGUGAACCAGUACCGUGAGGGAAAGGCGAAAAGAACCCCGGCGAGGGGAGUGAAAAAGAACCUGAAACCGUGUACGUACAAGCAGUGGGAGCACGCUUAGGCGUGUGACUGCGUACCUUUUGUAUAAUGGGUCAGCGACUUAUAUUCUGUAGCAAGGUUAACCGAAUAGGGGAGCCGAAGGGAAACCGAGUCUUAACUGGGCGUUAAGUUGCAGGGUAUAGACCCGAAACCCGGUGAUCUAGCCAUGGGCAGGUUGAAGGUUGGGUAACACUAACUGGAGGACCGAACCGACUAAUGUUGAAAAAUUAGCGGAUGACUUGUGGCUGGGGGUGAAAGGCCAAUCAAACCGGGAGAUAGCUGGUUCUCCCCGAAAGCUAUUUAGGUAGCGCCUCGUGAAUUCAUCUCCGGGGGUAGAGCACUGUUUCGGCAAGGGGGUCAUCCCGACUUACCAACCCGAUGCAAACUGCGAAUACCGGAGAAUGUUAUCACGGGAGACACACGGCGGGUGCUAACGUCCGUCGUGAAGAGGGAAACAACCCAGACCGCCAGCUAAGGUCCCAAAGUCAUGGUUAAGUGGGAAACGAUGUGGGAAGGCCCAGACAGCCAGGAUGUUGGCUUAGAAGCAGCCAUCAUUUAAAGAAAGCGUAAUAGCUCACUGGUCGAGUCGGCCUGCGCGGAAGAUGUAACGGGGCUAAACCAUGCACCGAAGCUGCGGCAGCGACGCUUAUGCGUUGUUGGGUAGGGGAGCGUUCUGUAAGCCUGCGAAGGUGUGCUGUGAGGCAUGCUGGAGGUAUCAGAAGUGCGAAUGCUGACAUAAGUAACGAUAAAGCGGGUGAAAAGCCCGCUCGCCGGAAGACCAAGGGUUCCUGUCCAACGUUAAUCGGGGCAGGGUGAGUCGACCCCUAAGGCGAGGCCGAAAGGCGUAGUCGAUGGGAAACAGGUUAAUAUUCCUGUACUUGGUGUUACUGCGAAGGGGGGACGGAGAAGGCUAUGUUGGCCGGGCGACGGUUGUCCCGGUUUAAGCGUGUAGGCUGGUUUUCCAGGCAAAUCCGGAAAAUCAAGGCUGAGGCGUGAUGACGAGGCACUACGGUGCUGAAGCAACAAAUGCCCUGCUUCCAGGAAAAGCCUCUAAGCAUCAGGUAACAUCAAAUCGUACCCCAAACCGACACAGGUGGUCAGGUAGAGAAUACCAAGGCGCUUGAGAGAACUCGGGUGAAGGAACUAGGCAAAAUGGUGCCGUAACUUCGGGAGAAGGCACGCUGAUAUGUAGGUGAAGUCCCUUGCGGAUGGAGCUGAAAUCAGUCGAAGAUACCAGCUGGCUGCAACUGUUUAUUAAAAACACAGCACUGUGCAAACACGAAAGUGGACGUAUACGGUGUGACGCCUGCCCGGUGCCGGAAGGUUAAUUGAUGGGGUCAGCGCAAGCGAAGCUCUUGAUCGAAGCCCCGGUAAACGGCGGCCGUAACUAUAACGGUCCUAAGGUAGCGAAAUUCCUUGUCGGGUAAGUUCCGACCUGCACGAAUGGCGUAAUGAUGGCCAGGCUGUCUCCACCCGAGACUCAGUGAAAUUGAACUCGCUGUGAAGAUGCAGUGUACCCGCGGCAAGACGGAAAGACCCCGUGAACCUUUACUAUAGCUUGACACUGAACAUUGAGCCUUGAUGUGUAGGAUAGGUGGGAGGCUUUGAAGUGUGGACGCCAGUCUGCAUGGAGCCGGCCUUGAAAUACCACCCUUUAAUGUUUGAUGUUCUAACGUGGACCCGUGAUCCGGGUUGCGGACAGUGUCUGGUGGGUAGUUUGACUGGGGCGGUCUCCUCCUAAAGAGUAACGGAGGAGCACGAAGGUUGGCUAAUCCUGGUCGGACAUCAGGAGGUUAGUGCAAUGGCAUAAGCCAGCUUGACUGCGAGCGUGACGGCGCGAGCAGGUGCGAAAGCAGGUCAUAGUGAUCCGGUGGUUCUGAAUGGAAGGGCCAUCGCUCAACGGAUAAAAGGUACUCCGGGGAUAACAGGCUGAUACCGCCCAAGAGUUCAUAUCGACGGCGGUGUUUGGCACCUCGAUGUCGGCUCAUCACAUCCUGGGGCUGAAGUAGGUCCCAAGGGUAUGGCUGUUCGCCAUUUAAAGUGGUACGCGAGCUGGGUUUAGAACGUCGUGAGACAGUUCGGUCCCUAUCUGCCGUGGGCGCUGGAGAACUGAGGGGGGCUGCUCCUAGUACGAGAGGACCGGAGUGGACGCAUCACUGGUGUUCGGGUUGUCAUGCCAAUGGCACUGCCCGGUAGCUAAAUGCGGAAGAGAUAAGUGCUGAAAGCAUCUAAGCACGAAACUUGCCCCGAGAUGAGUUCUCCCUGACCCUUUAAGGGUCCUGAAGGAACGUUGAAGACGACGACGUUGAUAGGCCGGGUGUGUAAGCGCAGCGAUGCGUUGAGCUAACCGGUACUAAUGAACCGUGAGGCUUAACCUU